This 395-nucleotide ribosomal RNA is filed under the name uncultured Pseudomonadota bacterium. RNAcentral describes it as "bacterial SSU rRNA". It matches the Rfam family "Bacterial small subunit ribosomal RNA", at positions 35 to 412 of the family's 1533-position model. Lineage: Bacteria; Pseudomonadati; Pseudomonadota. The record is from RNAcentral.
GUUAGCGGCGCGCCUAACACAUGCAAGUCGUACGAGAACGCUCCCUUCGGGGAGUUAGUAAAGUGGCGCACGGGUGCGUAACACGUAGGCAAGCUACCCCUGGGAGGGGGAUAACAACCCGAAAGGGUUGCUAAUACCGCGUAAGACCACGGUGGCUCCGGCCACAGCGGUCAAAGAUGGCCUCUACUUGUAAGCUAUCACCUGGGGAUGCGCCUGCGGCCCAUCAGCUUGUUGGCGGGGUAACGGCCCACCAAGGCUAAGACGGGUAGCUGGUCUGAGAGGAUGAUCAGCCACACUGGCACUGACACACGGGCCAGACUCCUACGGGAGGCAGCAGUGGGGAAUCUUGGACAAUGGGCGAAAGCCUGAUCCAGCGACGCCGCGUGAGUGAUGAA